AAGAAUUAAAUAAUAAACUACCCAUAAUUAGGAAAGCCGGCGACGGUGCCUAAUUUGUUCUUUCGCUUCUCACGGAGCAGCCGCAGCAUCGUCUUCUCAGAUCUGUCUCCCUCGUCACUGAGAAAGAGAGAGAAAACAGAGGUCUCUUUGCCGUUGACAUGGCGAUUAGGGUUUUUCUUAUUUCCCUUUUAUUCUUGUCGACCACAAUCACUACCUUUUCACUUUACGAAGAUCAAGUAGGCCUCAUGGACUGGCAUCAACAAUACAUAGGGAAAGUGAAGGACGCAGUAUUCCAUACACAGAAGACUGGUAGAAAGCGCGUUGUUGUUUCCACUGAAGAGAAUGUUAUAGCUUCCCUUGAUCUUCGGCAUGGCGAGAUUUUUUGGAGGCAUGUUCUUGGAGCCAAUGAUGCUAUUGAUGGAAUUGAUAUCGCCAUGGGGAAAUGUAAUUAUGCUUAUAUGUGUAAUCUGUCGUACAUGAUAGAUUUCAUUCGUGAGCAUGUAGUUACUGGAUCAUAAAUGAUGUUCUACAUGACUAUUUUUUUUCUUGAUUGUGGUUUUAUUGGGAUGCAUUAUUUGUUCUUCAUCUUAGAAGGACGAUGGUCAAUCUAGGAAUCUAUUGGCCAUCAACUUUUUCGACUUGGUUGCUUUAUGUUUGUGAUAUUAUCUGUGAUUCCUAUCCCCCCACUCUUUUAUCCUUAGCAUGCCCACCUUACAAAAAUAGAGAAUAGGCGUCAUUCCUUAAAUCUUUUUGUUUAGUUAAAGAUUGUAGAAAACAAAAUUGGUAAUCUGGUUUGCAGAAUAGUGGUCUGAAUUAUGUACACAUAUAUAUUAGUGUAUUUUGAGCUAAUUAAAAAUUUGUUUAUGAUUUUAUUAUAUUUGGAGUAUUGAUCAUCUUAUUGUUAUUUUGUAUAGACAAUGUUUUUUCCUUCUCUUGUACCCUGGAAGGAAUGAGCAUCUGACUGUUCUAGUUAUUCAAAUUCUUAAAUCUUCUGCCUCAUUUUCUCAGACAUCAUUACCCUUUCAUCAGAGGGGAGUAUCUUAAGAGCAUGGAACCUUCCUGAUGGGCAGAUGGUGUGGGAAUCAUUUCUUCAUAGCCCAAAUCACUCAAAAUCAUUAUUGUUGGUGCCAGUCAGUAAAUGAAAGUUUUUAUUUGUUACCUAUUAUAAUCUCUUAAUGAUACAAUGGUAAUUGAAUUACAGUUAAUGAGCAAUUUUACGAGGUCUUCCUGCCAUAUUUUUUUUUCCAAUUGCAAUCAAAUAUGUCUUGGGUCAUUUGCUAAAUCAGAUAAUGCUGAGAUCAUUUAUCAUAAUCUAGUUCCUGUGAUGAAAAUUUAUUUUUCAUACCUUCUUUGUUAGCACAAUUCACCCUUCCUAGGGGAUCUCAAUUCUACUUAGAAGUAUGCUCUUAUAAUAACAUCAUGCAAUCUACAAAUUUUCGAAAGAAUUUGUGGUUAACUAAGGUUUCAAUCUGCAGACCAGCUUGAAAAUUGACAAGGACAAUGUGAUUCUUGUGUUUGGCAAAGGAUGUCUCCAUGCUAUUUCAAGCAUACAUGGUGAGAUUCUCUGGAAGAAGGAUUUUGCUGCUGAAAGUUUUGAGGUUCAGCAUGUGAUUCAGCCUCUUGGAAGUGAUAUAAUAUAUGUUGUAGGAUUUGUUGGUUCAUCUCAGUUUAAUGUGUACCAAAUGAAUGCAAAGAAUGGAGAGCUGCUGAAGCAUGAAAGUGCGGCAUUAUCUGGUGGUUUUUCAGGGGAAGUUUCUUUAGUUUCUAGUAACACACUUGUUAUGAUGGAUUCCACUGGUUCAACUUUGAUAAAAGUGAACUUUCAUAAUGGAGAAAUCAACUUUCAGAAAACAGACAUAUCAGAUCUGAUUAAAGAGUCCUUAGGGAUGGCAACGAUAUUACCUUCAAAACUUGCUGGAAUAUUUGCUUUGAAAACCACUACAUUUAUGAUAUUUAUAAGAGUGACAGAUGAAGGAAAGUUGGAGGUGGUAGAUAAAAUCAAUCAUGUAACAGCUGUUAGUGAUGCUCUCUCAUUCUCCGAGGGUCAACAAGCAUUUGCAUUGGUUGAACAUUACAACAAUGACAUUUACCUUACAGUGAAGCUUGGGCAAGAGUGGAAUAGUGAUUUGCUUAAGGAAAGCAUUAAAUUGGACGACCAAAGAGGUUUGGUCCAUAAGGUUUUCAUAAACAAUUAUAUCCGGACAGAUAGGUCUCAUGGGUUUAGGGCUUUGAUUGUCAUGGAAGAUCAUUCACUUUUACUGCUACAACAAGGUGAGAUUGUCUGGUGUAGGGAGGAUGGCCUUGCCUCUGUUAUAGAUGCAACAACAUCCGAACUUCCUGUGGAAAAGGAAGGCGUAUCGGUAGCAAAAGUGGAAGAGAACCUUUUCGAAUGGCUCAAGGGACAUAUUCUGAAAAUUAAGGGCACCUUAAUGCUUGCAAGCCCUGAGGAGGUCGUGAACAUACAAGCCAUGAGGUUGAAAAGCUUUGAGAAGAGCAAAAUGACCCGAGACCAUAAUGGGUUCCGGAAGCUGCUAAUUGUGCUUACUAAAUCUGGGAAGGUUUUUGCCUUGCAUACUGGAGAUGGACGGAUUGUGUGGUCUCUCUUGUUAAAUUCUCUGCGUAAAUCAGAAACAUGUGAAAACCCAACUGGGCUUAAUUUGUAUCAGUGGCGGGUUCCUCAUCACCAUGCGAUGGAUGAGAAUCCAUCUGUUCUGGUAGUUGGCAGGUGUAGAUCAAAUUCAGAUGCACCUGGUGUACUUUCUUUUGUUGAUACUUACACGGGGAAGGAGCUUGGUUCUUCCAGUCUUGUUCAUUCUGUUGUCCAAGUGAUUUUGCUUCCAUUUACAGAUUCAAAUGAACAACGGCUACAUCUGCUAAUAGAUGCUAAACAACGAGCACAUUUAUACCCAAAAAACCCUGAGGCUGUUGGUAUUUUUCAGCGUGAGUUUUCUAACAUUUACUGGUACUCAGUUGAGGCUGAUGAUGGCAUUAUUAAAGGACAUGUGUUGAAGGACAAUUGCAUUGGCGAAGUAUCAGAUGAAUAUUACUUUGAAACCAAGGAGAUAUGGUCAAUUGUGUUUCCCUUGGAGUCAGAAAAGAUCAUCACAACUGUGACAAGAAAGUUGAAUGAGGUGGUUCAUACUCAGGCAAAGGUUAUAGCAGACCAAGAUGUGAUGUAUAAAUAUAUAUCAAAAAAUUUACUUUUCGUGGUGACUGUUGCACCAAAGGCCACUGGAGGUAUUGGAUCAGCUACUCCAGAUGAAUCAUGGUUGGUUGCUUAUCUUAUCGAUUCAGUAACUGGUCGUAUAUUGCAUCGCAUGACUCAUCAUGGCUCACAUGGUCCUGUCCAUGCGGUUUUUAGUGAAAACUGGGUUGUCUACCACUACUUUAAUCUUAGAGCACACAGAUAUGAGAUGUCAGUCAUUGAAAUUUUUGACCAGUCUCGAGCUGACAACAAAGAUGUUUGGAAGCUUGCUGUGGGAAAGCAUAAUCUCGCUUCUCCCAUUUCUUCCUAUUCUCGACUAGAGGUCAUAACAAAGUCACAGUCAUACUUUUUUACCCAUUCUGUCAAAGCAAUAGCUGUUACGUCUACGGCCAAGGGUAUAACUUCAAAGCAGUUGCUUAUUGGUACAGUUGGUGAUCAGGUUUUGGCACUGGAUAAGCGUUUCUUGGAUCCCCGUCGAUCAAUUAAUCCCACACAAGCAGAGAAAGAGGAAGGAAUGAUACCUCUUACAGAUUCAUUGCCAAUA
Molecule: unclassified non-coding RNA, 3749 nt
Filed under: Hevea brasiliensis (rubber tree)
Lineage: Eukaryota; Viridiplantae; Streptophyta; Magnoliopsida; Malpighiales; Euphorbiaceae
Source: RNAcentral